GACGAACCGAGCGAACGUUGUUCGGAAUCACUGGGCUUAAAGGGCGCGUAGGCGGGUGCUCAAGUCCGGGGUGAAAUCCCACAGCUCAACUGUGGAAUUGCCUCGGAUACUGGGUGUCUCGAGGGUGGUAGGGGUAUGCGGAACUAUCGGUGGAGCGGUGAAGUGCGUUGAUAUCGAUAGGAACUCCGGUGGCGAAGGCGGCAUACUGGACCACUUCUGACGCUGAGGCGCGAAAGCCAGGGGAGCAAACGGG
RNAcentral lists this ribosomal RNA (253 nucleotides) under uncultured bacterium. RNAcentral describes it as "partial 16S ribosomal RNA". It matches the Rfam family "Bacterial small subunit ribosomal RNA", at positions 524 to 776 of the family's 1533-position model. The record is from RNAcentral.